This 547-nucleotide ribosomal RNA is filed under the name uncultured bacterium. RNAcentral's name for it is "bacterial SSU rRNA". It matches the Rfam family "Bacterial small subunit ribosomal RNA", at positions 355 to 896 of the family's 1533-position model. The record is from RNAcentral.
UGGGGAAUAUUGCGCAAUGGGGGCAACCCUGACGCAGCCAUGCCGCGUGAAUGAAGAAGGCCUUCGGGUUGUAAAGUUCUUUCGGUGACGAGGAAGGCGUGAUGUUUAAUAGGCAUCACGAUUGACGUUAAUCACAGAAGAAGCACCGGCUAACUCCGUGCCAGCAGCCGCGGUAAUACGGAGGGUGCGAGCGUUAAUCGGAAUAACUGGGCGUAAAGGGCACGCAGGCGGCUAUUUAAGUGAGGUGUGAAAUCCCCGGGCUUAACCUGGGAAUUGCAUUUCAGACUGGGUAGCUAGAGUACUUUAGGGAGGGGUAGAAUUCCACGUGUAGCGGUGAAAUGCGUAGAGAUGUGGAGGAAUACCGAAGGCGAAGGCAGCCCCUUGGGAAUGUACUGACGCUCAUGUGCGAAAGCGUGGGGAGCAAACAGGAUUAGAUACCCUGGUAGUCCACGCUGUAAACGCUGUCGAUUUGGGGAUUGGGCCUUGAGCUUGGUGCCCGAAGCUAACGUGAUAAAUCGACCGCCUGGNGAGUACGGCCGCAAGGUUA